RNAcentral lists this transfer RNA (66 nucleotides) under Conocephalus differentus. Its description in RNAcentral is "tRNA-Gly". Lineage: Eukaryota; Metazoa; Arthropoda; Insecta; Orthoptera; Tettigoniidae. The record is from RNAcentral.
AUUUAUUUAGUAUAUUAAUAUACAUUUGAUUUUUAAUCAAAAAAAUUAAUUUAUUCAAAAUAAAUA